Molecule: long non-coding RNA, 1016 nt
Filed under: Monodelphis domestica (gray short-tailed opossum)
Lineage: Eukaryota; Metazoa; Chordata; Mammalia; Didelphimorphia; Didelphidae
Description: lncRNA (ENSMODG00000038276.1)
Source: RNAcentral
GUGAUACUUCAGCAAACCUUGGAGGAACUUCAAGAUCCCACGAGGUAGAAGAAUGGAGACUAUCCCUGGCAUAUAUAGCUGGUACGAAGGCACCCAGAGAAACCAUUGCACUUGCUUAAUACCAACAGCCAUGCAGAAGGCCAGCCAUAAAUUUCAGUCCUAUGCCUCAUCAUCAUCAUUGUCAUCAUCAUUAUCUGGGAAAUGUCUACAGUGAUUUACAUUUUGAUCCCUAAAACCACCCUAUAAGGUAGGUAAAUGUCCAUUACACCCAUUUUUUUCAUGAGUUUUCUUGUUAAAUAAGGCUAGCUUUUGGAUUCUCUCUUCAUCUUUUCACAUCUGUAGGCCUUAUUUUAUUCUCUGUAUUUGUAUCCUCAGUGACUGGCAACCAGGAAUUGGUCCAGGUGGCUGCAGUGAUGGGAAGGUCCAGUUGUCAGAAUAGGUGUACAGGGGAAAUUAACUCAGUGGCGGGAAUGUUUGUAGUCCUUCUUUAAGUUCGAAUCUCCUCUCUUCAGGAACUAGAGUGUGUAGAAAAGGAAAAGAGCAGCCAGCCCCAGUUUUAAAGAUGUAUUUUGACUCUUCUUAUAUCCUUUUUAGUAAAUAUCCCUUUGUAAAAGCUAACUGAUGUUAAACAGUUGUUAACAAUAAUGAGAAGAGGGACAGGUAGAUGACUCAGUGGAUUGAGAAUGAAGCGUAGAAACAGUAGAACCUGAGUUCAAAUCUGGCCUUAGACACUUCCUAGCUAUGAGACCCUUGACAAGUCAUUUAACCUCAGUUGCCUAGUGCUUACUGCUUUUCUGUCUUGGAACCAAUACUUAGCAUUGAUUCUAAAACAGAAAGUAAGGGUUAAAAAAAUAGUGAGGACAUAUCAAUAGACAAAAUAAUACUGGGUGUUAAUCCACUGGUAACUAACAAUGGAGGGCAAUAUUUUGGAAUGGGAGUUUUGAACAAUAGCAUUAGAAGAACUUCAUUGCUCCCUAAGGAUUCCCUAGAACCCCAAAGGGGAGAAGUAGCCAGCU